Long non-coding RNA from Archocentrus centrarchus (flier cichlid), 505 nucleotides. RefSeq lists it as uncharacterized. Lineage: Eukaryota; Metazoa; Chordata; Actinopteri; Cichliformes; Cichlidae. The record is from RefSeq and is a predicted model, not a curated record. The transcript has 5 exons.
CACCCCCACCCCUUCUCUCUUCUCCAUCUCGAGACAGGUGUAUGCCUUCCUAUAGACUUGAGGCAACAACGACACUUGGGACUAUGGGUCUGUGGACCAGAGUGUGUUUUUACAGGGCAAGAAGAAAGAAAAUAAAUGGAAACUAACACAGUUGAUGAAGCAAGAGAAGAAGAGGUUAGAAAGGAACAACAAACGCUCUUGGGCCCAGCAGGGAGGGAGGCAGCAGCUGAAAGGUCAACACUCAGAUCAACCAACACUUUGGUUUCCAUCAGCCCCACCUCAAAAUCAAGAAAGUCAAGCAGGUUUGAGUGAGACACAUCCACACCCCCUGCACUCAGAACCAGCCAGAGUCAUCUAAUCCGACGGGAAGAUGCAGCUGCUGUGAGUUUGCUGUCGGCGUCGGACCAUAGCUAUUGGACUGUGAGGACGUGACCGUGACGUGAAGGUGGACUCUCAAAUCUUCCGAUAGAGAGUGUGUGUGUGUGUGUGUGUGUGUGUGUGUGUG